CAUGUAGGUGGAUCAAUUAGUCUGUUGUGAAAGUCAAAGGCUCAACCUUUGAAAGCCGGUGGAUACUGUUGGUCUAGAGUACGGAAGAGGCGAGUGGAAUUCCUGGUGUAGCGGUGGAAUGCGCAGAUAUCAGGAGGAACACCAAUAGCGAAGGCAGCUCGCUGGGACGUUGCUGACACUGAGAUGCGAAAGCGUGGGGAGCAACA
This 206-nucleotide ribosomal RNA is filed under the name uncultured bacterium. Its description in RNAcentral is "partial 16S ribosomal RNA". It matches the Rfam family "Bacterial small subunit ribosomal RNA", at positions 568 to 773 of the family's 1533-position model. The record is from RNAcentral.